This is a long non-coding RNA of Mauremys reevesii (Reeves's turtle), 580 nucleotides long. RefSeq lists it as uncharacterized. NCBI's taxonomy places the organism in Eukaryota, Metazoa, Chordata, Testudines, Geoemydidae. The transcript is spliced from 3 exons. The record is from RefSeq and is a predicted model, not a curated record.
CGUGGCCCCAGGGCAGCAGGGCUGGGAGUCGCCCUCUUGUCAAGAGGCUUCCUGCCCAGAAGGGGUGAUCUGUUGUUAAUGCUCUGAUAGUUCCUGCUCUGGCUGUGGAGCGGGGGCUGGCUGUGCUAGGAGUGACUCAGAACAGGGAGGCCGUUUGCAAAGCACCAGGGUAUGAAGACCGUAAAGAAUUAAACUGGGCCCUGCCCGUGGAAGCUGGAGACAGACUCUGUGGGCCUGAUUCUCCAUUGCCGGGGGUGAAUGGUGACCAAGGUGCACAGCAGUGGAGAAUCGAUCCUUGUGAGUGUUCCCAGCACACCGGGAGUGAGCCAUAUCCAUGUCCUUGCACAGCCACUCUAGCCCUGUCAAACUCCACCCUCCCAGCUGCGCUCGGCAGGUUUUAUGUUUGUUUUAAACGGGAGGAUCACGGAGCUUCAGUUUCUGCAGCAUCACUGAGGACCAGAUUCUGCCCAGCUCUGGGGCAAGGAGCUACCCCCAUCCCUGAACACCUGUGCAGAGGCUGGCCAGCAUCCCACCUAGUGCCCAUGUCAAGCAGUAGCUAUCUGAAAAGAGCUAUGGGGGU